RNAcentral lists this ribosomal RNA (301 nucleotides) under uncultured bacterium. RNAcentral describes it as "partial 16S ribosomal RNA". It matches the Rfam family "Bacterial small subunit ribosomal RNA", at positions 509 to 807 of the family's 1533-position model. The record is from RNAcentral.
CAGCCGCCACGGGAAUACAGAGGGUGCAAGCGUUAAUCGGAAUUACUGGGCGUAAAGCGCGCGUAGGUGGUUUGUUAAGUUGGAUGUGAAAUCCCCGGGCUCAACCUGGGAACUGCAUCCAAAACUGGCAAGCUAGAGUAUGGUAGAGGGUGGUGGAAUUUCCUGUGUAGCGGUGAAAUGCGUAGAUAUAGGAAGGAACACCAGUGGCGAAGGCGACCACCUGGACUGAUACUGACACUGAGGUGCGAAAGCGUGGGGAGCAAACAGGAUUAGAUACCCCGGUAGUCCCUGUCUCUUAUAC